RNAcentral lists this long non-coding RNA (991 nucleotides) under Vitis vinifera (wine grape). Its description in RNAcentral is "long non-coding RNA (VVIN_LNC005739)". Lineage: Eukaryota; Viridiplantae; Streptophyta; Magnoliopsida; Vitales; Vitaceae. The record is from RNAcentral.
UCAUCCUUUGAUAGUAUGUUAAGAGAAAAGGCCUUUCUCACCUUCCUGUUCUGUCUCUGUCUUCCCUCCCUUCCUCAGUCUCUAGAAGUAGCAACAUGGUGAUGCAGACACAGCAAUCACCCACACUAUGAUGGUUCUUGAGCUUAUUGUAGUGUCUGCGCUCACCAUUUUUGCUAGACAAAAAGAGAGAGGGAGAGGAAGUAAAGAGAAAGAAAAGGAUGUCAUCAGCGUGUGAAGACAAGUCAUGGAGGGGGCUAUAUUACCUCUAGACAGCUCUAGUCAUUGAAACAAGAUUUGGAAUCAAGAAGCCAUCUGGGCCAUCUUGUAGUUUCCCAUGGAGUGUUCUAUUCAAUCUAAUUAUGUAUGCUUCAUUGCUCACUAUCAAGGUAAGCGAAUCUACUCUUCUGCCAUAGAAACAAAGAGUGUUGAUACAUGUCAUUCUUCUUGUCACUUGCCAACUUCCUAAAUGGAAUGUUGAUUUUUGUACUCCUUCGCAUUUUUCUGUCCCUGGAUCUUGGGUGUUAUCAGCCACCAAAAUAGCAUGGCAAUGCAUAUGGCAAACAUGAAAGAAUAAUCUGAGUGCUGAAGCCCACGAAGUGUUUUGAAGGCUGCUACCAAUUCUCAUGUGUCCCUGGUUGAUGGUUCUGGGUCUGUUUUUGGACCAAACCAUCAGAAGUUGAGUACUCGUAGGCGGGAUCAAGUUCUCCAUAUGAAAUAAGAAAGAUAUCUAGUUUGAGCUUCUUGUAUCGUCAACAUGCUCAGAAGAAAUAAAUCGGCUUCCAUAAAUCCACUAACACAUGCAGCAACAUCAUUAAAAAACCUUGUUGGUAAGAAGUCAUUUAUAAAGCCAAAAUGGAACCAAUGUUGGUAGGUUAAGAAAAUAAUGAGCAAUUAGGAGUUGAACCAUGAAGAAACGUCUGCUUAAAUGGAUGUCUUGUUGAGACACACUAAGUUCCUCUUGAGCGGAGCUCCAAACGCCAACCCCCCCCCC